This is a non-coding RNA of Sturnus vulgaris (Common starling), 526 nucleotides long. NCBI's taxonomy places the organism in Eukaryota, Metazoa, Chordata, Aves, Passeriformes, Sturnidae. The record is from RefSeq and is a predicted model, not a curated record.
UGAUUUCCCGCAGACUGCAGACACCUUGGUGUAAAGCAUCCCCAGGCUUGUUUGAGGGCUCUGUAGUCAGAAUUUCACAAAAGGUCUCCUGGUGCAAAAGGCGUGACACUGUUGUUGUUGUUGUUGUUGUUGUUUUAUGAUGUUUGACUACUUGGUGCAGCGAAGAGACAACCUGGUGUUUUGUAACUAAGGAGUGCCUCCCAAGUAGUUUGGUCUCUUCACCCACACAGGGAAGCGAAGGGGGGCACACAGCGAAAGCUGCUUCGUUGUGUGUGGUAACUUAAGCAAUAGACCUCCCUGUUGUGGUUUUUAGUUAUCCUUUCACAAAUUGACUGAGAAUUCCACUGUAACAGAUAAAGCUGCAUUUUAUGCUCUAUUAACUAAGUAUAGCGCCAGACCAUCCCAAGGUGGGGAGGAAUGGGCAAACAAUAAUUGGUUAAAUCUGGAGAAUGUGAUUGAUAGAAUAUGUUCUUUGCAACAUGAAUCAGAGUUCAAACUGGGCAAAAAUAAAACCAUACUCUGCUCA